UUUAAGCAAGUCAUCUGAACUCUGGUUUUUUCUUCAUUUCUCCUCAUUCAAAUUACUUCUGAUAGAAGCACUAAACUGCAACCACUAAUAGCCCUGUAUGCCUUAUCUAAUCAGUAAAUUUGCCUCCAGCUUUCCAGUGAGUUCCAUUUCAGCUCCUUUAUCAUGGCAGUGACGUAACUAUAUUGCUCAACAUUUCUGUGGAUAUGUCUUUCAGUCCUUCUUUGUAAAUCCUCCAGUAUGAACUGAACUGAACUGAAUUGUUCUAAUUGCCUGUAAACAACAGUUGUGUUGUAUAAGGCAUCAUCAGUGCUUAAUUGCAGAAUCAACAAAUUGCUGCCUUACUGAUGAUGGUACAACAACUACUGGCUGCACAAGCUGUGUCGGCUGCACAACCAACCAACCAGUACAACAAGUGCUGCCGACCUGCAUACCAAUGUUCUGGCAAUUUAAUGAAACAGAAGAAGAAUGGCUCCAAUACCUGACUCAGUUCCAAGCACAUUGUCAAGUUCAUCAUGUUGAAGUUACUGACAAGACAGUGUUGCCCGAACUGCCACAUUGGACUGUAGAGGGUGGAGAUUUCACCAGAAAAAAUAACUUACAUAGGAAAAUGAAAUUUCAAGAUGAUCGUAAAAAUGUAUCUUGUAUUACUUAGAUAGGAAUCCUAUGUUACAUGUUUCAAAUUUUGACUUGAUUCACGCCUUGGGAGUAUCUCUUGUG
This is a long non-coding RNA of Schistocerca cancellata (South American locust), 717 nucleotides long. RefSeq lists it as uncharacterized. NCBI's taxonomy places the organism in Eukaryota, Metazoa, Arthropoda, Insecta, Orthoptera, Acrididae. The record is from RefSeq and is a predicted model, not a curated record. The transcript is spliced from 3 exons.